Non-coding RNA from Chrysemys picta bellii (western painted turtle), 6452 nucleotides. NCBI's taxonomy places the organism in Eukaryota, Metazoa, Chordata, Testudines, Emydidae. The record is from RefSeq and is a predicted model, not a curated record.
AGUGGGUCUAGUGAAGACCCACCAAAUCGACAGCAGAUCGUUCUCCAGAUGAGAGAGUAAGGUUAGGAUUUUGCUGGGGACACAAGGCUUGAAGAAAUUAGCUGCUGUUAGCUUAAAGCAUUGCAGAGAAAAUGUGAAGUGAAAUGUUUUGUUUUGUAGCAGAAGACUACAGGAAGCAAGUUGGAGAAUAAAAACUGGACACUAUUCUGGAUGAGACCAGUGACAACCUUAGCUCACACAGAAUCCAAAAGAGUUUCUGUGCUGUACUUCUAUAACAAGGCAUUUGAAACAGUGUAUAAACACAACCACAAACUAAUAUUUUCAAAGGAAAUUUCACAUUCUUCAAGUGUACUAUGACUAAGUAAAAGCAUUUUCAAUUAAUUUAUGUUUUUAAUAGAAAGGGAAAUAGUCCAGCAUUUAAAUGGAUGUCAUCCAAGACUGAGCACAUGGUAUCAACCAGGUGCAGACAUCUUGGCUAUUUGGGAACAUAUUUUCUUUAAUGAAAAGGUUUAACGGGAUUAUCUCUGAAGUGAACUAACUGUAGGCUUUAUAGCGCCAAGAGUAUUUCAUUAGUUUAUAAUUCUGAACAUUUUUGUUGUGCUUGGUAAAGUUUAGAGGAACAGGUAAUGUUCCUUGUCAUUGCAGAGAAAUUGCCUGCAAUUAGGAGGCAUUAUAGCUCACAGUACCUUAGCUUUAUCAUCCAAAAUCAGUUACAUUCUACUUUACUUGAUAUGAAGGGCAGAACACCUGAAAACAGAAUCUGAGGUACUUACAAUAAGUGAACUGUUCCUUCUAUCAGAAUUAAUUGAAGAGGUGGCAAAGCAAGAGGUCAAUAGUUGCAGGCAUGCAGCCUGGCUUCAUAUUUUCAAUAGCUCUCUUUUACAGAUAAGCCUACAUUACAUGCUAAGAAGGUCUUUUCAUUUAACAGUUAUGUUUUGGGAGUCUUUUAAAAUCUGGAGCUUGCUUGGCACUUCCAUUCACAAUUGUUUUUCAGCUUUUAAUAUCAUAAUUAUUUCAAAACCUACAUGACAAGCAAGGUAUACUGUGAUUUUAGUCCUUUAUGGAAGAUUUAUACCCCUUUUCUUCCCUUCCCUCAGGACUUCAAUGGAAACUUUUAACACCUCUUACCCUCAAUGAUUUGUGACCUUUUUUGGUGAGGGUUCCCUCAGUAGCCCAUCCAUGCUACUCCUAGCUCUUGCUUGUUCACACAGUUCAAUACAGAGUGGUGAGCUUCCUCCCACACUCACUCGAGAUUCAAACAUGCUGCUGUUUCCAGCACAAUUAGUGCCUGCAGUAUGAGACCAACUGUGAGUAUUCUAUCCCCAUAAGUAUCAUGAAUGGCUGUGUAUAAACUUCUGAGCUACCAAGACUGACUAUAUAGGGUAAAGAUAUUUGCUCAUGUAAAAUUUCAUGAGGGACUUGAAUACUGCAUAAUAACUUAUACAGCAAAAUCUGCACUAAAAACAACUUUCAGGAGGCAGACCCUGUUUUAAGAGAUUUAAAAGUACUGUAUCAGCCCAGUUUCCAGAACAAUGUUGUUUGACUGCUAGUAAAAACUGCCUCUGUCGGCAACCAGUUUUUGCUGGUCUUUUGGACUGCCACUUAAGACAUGUUUCAAUUCAUGUAUAUAGAACCUUUCAUCCAGCAGUAUUCCAAAACACUUUACAAACUAUAUAUGGGAAUCACUUAACCCAAACCAAAAUGAAGCUACUUCUAGAAAGAAAUGAGGCAACUGUUUAACAACACGCAGCAGUUUAGGACAGUAAGUGAAGAAUACCAUAUCCAACUGAAAUUACAGGGGAGGAUUUGAGCAGGCAGGAUGUAAUUAUCCAAAGUCCUAUGAGAUGGAUCAUUGCCCUUCUUGGAUGGUUAAAGCCAAUGGAAACAGUCUGGCCUUUUACUAAUUUUACUGAUGGAAACUGUGAAUGUCCCUCAGCGAGAGGGCAAGCUGAUGGCACUUUUUAAAGAUGCCAGAAUAUAUCUUGCUUAACAAAACUAGUGUUGGAAACUCCAGCUGGUACAGCAUGCAGCUGCCCACCAGUAAGUAUUGUAGACCAAAGGAGCAACAUACUACAUUUGCUUCUAGUUAUCUUGCAGAUGAAAUUCAAGGUGCUGAAUAGCCUGGGUCCCAGUUGUUUGAACCCACUUUCCUGCCUUUGCUCCAUCAAGACAACUUCAGCAGGAGGAAGAAGAAAAGCUUGGAGGAGUUGGGAGCUGGGUAUUCUAAUCUCUGGAGCUGUUGGGAAUGUGUCUGAGCCUCACAAUCAGGAUGAAAUGUAGCUUCUUUUCAUCUAGGUUUUCCAUAAUAUUUGCUGGAUUCACUUAUUUUUAAAUCUUCUGGAUGCUACCCACUGUCUUAGGUGUCCUCAAAGACACUUAGUCAGCUGCUGUGGAUAUUUGAACUGUGCUCCACAUUUUGUGAAGCUGUUAGAUUCUACUUGGUGUAAGGUGUACGUAGAAAGCACAGUAAAACCCUGUAAAUACUUGUAGCAAUAAUAAUACAUUGGAGUUUACCCAGUACAUAAGGGAUAACACCUGCUUAUUUUUUUGAAAGUUCCACGGGAUCUUUAAUAACUUUCAAUGAUCAGGGUUGUAAUGUGAAAUCUAAUCUGAAAGACUAGAUUACAGCAAAACGGUCUUCUAACCCUAAUUGCAUUCUGGGGCAUUGCCUGAAUACUGACUCAAAAGAAAGGAUGCCACCUACUAAUUCACUAGUUUCAUUUCUUUCAGAACCUAAUUUUUUCUUGGAGGUCUCCCUUCCAAGUAUUGAUCAGGUUCAAUAUGAUUUUAAUUUAUGAGUCCACAAUCUGAGAAAAAUGGCUGCAGAUUGAAAAAGAAAAUAAUUUAAAUUAAUCUUUUCUUUUUAAAUGUCUGAUUUUAGCUGUUGCCAAUAAUUAAACAUACUUGGUUUGAAUAAGAGUUUUUCAAUCACAAAUCAUACUCUUUUCUGACGGAUCAUGAAGCAAAGUGUGUACGUGUUACAUACACGGUCUGUCAUGGAAAAUAUUGUGAAGUCACAAAUUCCAAACAAUCACUGAAACUAAGCAGGAGGAGUAAUGGAGAAGGAAAUCUUAAGAGAGCUGAAACCCUAAACUAAGUUUCAUAGAAAACUGCAGAGGUUACAUUUUUGAUUUCUAUGGAAAGCAAAAAAUAAGGAGUCAUAAGUGCACACAUUAGGCACUGGAACAAUUUAUCAAGGAUUGUGGUGGCAAUUUUUAAAUCAAGAUUGGAUAUUAUUCUAAAAGAUAUGCUCUAGGAAUUGUUCUGGGGAAGUUCUGUGGCUUGUGUUAUAGUGGAGGUCAGACUAGAUGAUCAUAAUGGUCCCUUCUGGCCUUCGAAUCUAUGAAUUUGGAAAAUUAUUUUCUCUAUUUGCCAUUUCUUCUUUGUCUCUUUCACUGGCUCUUCAUCAGCUGUGCUUUAGCCUUAUAUCUAUAAAUAUUUCAUUCCUCAUGGAGCUGUGAACAGAAGGAGUCUAUUUUUCACUGAAUGCUUUGGUAUGCACUUGUUGGUGUUAGUAGGCAUCACCCUAGGUAACUCGGGAGGUUGGAAGACCCGAGAGUCGAUGAAGCCCCCCCGCUCUAGGCCAAAGUGAAUCAAAGCCCCUGCAUGUUAAACUUUACUAACCUCACAGGCCAGCAGCUGGGAAGCAGUAGUGAUAAGGGAAACCUACAUGCUUCUAACUAAAGGACAAGAUUACUUGCAGAAAGAAACAAUGAGAACAAGCCUCCCAGCCAAGUUCGUGUAAUGUAGCCAGAGGGAGAAUGGAGGAGGGUGGGUGAGAAAGGACGGGGAAAAAGGGAAAGGCUUAGUUACAAACUGUAUAAAAGACAAAGGCUGCUUAUGUUGGUGUGCUUGAUUUGAGACGUGCCUGUCUCCUUGCACCACUUUGAGAUCUCAAAUAAACUUUGAUUGCUUCUCCACCCUGGUGUGUUCAUUGGUGCGAAGCACACCGGGCAACGGACCCCGCUGUUGCUGUCCUCGGGCACUCUGUGCCGGCAACACACUUGUAGUGUAUGGUUCAUUCGUUGGGUGUUACCUACUAAUGUGAUGCUAAGAGGUUUAUGGAGUUUUGAGCUCUAGUUUUUGAAUCUUUUCAUAUUUUGUCUCUUUUGUCUCUUCAUAUUUUGUCUGUGUGUGUCUUGUUUGGUGCCUCUAUAGAUGAUUAGUUGUUUGGGAAAACUGAUUUCUGGUGCAAAAGGUUUGACUAUUUAUGUAACGUGUGCCAUAAAUGUGCACCAGACUUUACAAACAUGUAGAAAUACUGGGUCCAUACCCUGAGGAGUUUUUAAUCUAAUUAAGAAAAAUACAAUAUAUGAGACAAGCAUUCACGUGCAAGAAAGAAUAGAAACAUUAGUGGCUGGACAGCAAUAUAGGAAGACUAAGAAAGAAGGUAUUUGAAAGUGAAGAGGAAGUGUUGCUUUGUACAUGGAAGAUGGGCGAGACUAUUCCAAACAUAGUAGCAGAGGUUACAUAGGAAUGUAAUAAGUCAAGACAGUAUAAAUGCAAAUAAUAGCAAAGUUGUGGAUAGGAUUAUGAAGGAUAAGGAGGCUGAAAUUAAUAUGAAAAGACACCAGUGGAGAGAUUCAGGGACUGGAGUGAUGGGGUCAUAGCAGUGAGGGCUAAAUACACAAAGGUACUUUAGUUGUUGCAAUGCCUAACCCCUUCCAUGCCCUGCUACCUAGUGGAAUCCUCAGUUUUGAGUUAGGUGCCCAGACUCCCCAUAAAUGGCUUGGGGAGACUUGGGUGCUUAAGGAAGGGAACAUAAGAAGCCAGAAUGCCGAGAGAGGAGCCACCUAAGCUCCAGAAAAGUCAAUAGGAAGAGAGGACAACAGUAAGGGUGGAGAAAGUUCCAUAAUGCUCAACCUGCUCCUUCCUACUCUAAAUUUGCUAAUAUGACUAUGGGUAAUGCAAUGAGAGGCUCUUUGUCCCUGUUCCCACAGUGGCAGCUAAUGCAGAUGGUCACAGGGCAAGCUCACAUGUGCAGGUAGGAGGCUCCGACAGCAACUCAUAGUCCCAAACUUUUCUCCUUUGCUCCCAUGACUCUCAGUUAUGUAUGACUGACCUCUUAGCACCACCAAUGGUGGACCUUCCCAAACCUCCCAGUCACAUAUAGUCUUCUGUUAAGUGGAGAGCAGGGAGGGAAAGUUCACACCAAGACAGCAAAAAAGAACAAAAAUUAGAAAGUAAAAUACAACAGAGAAUAAAAGAUAAUCAUAAGAGAAACGAACAGAGACAGAAAAGGUCAGGAGAGAAAAUGGAAAGAAAAAAAGAUGGUGGUAACUGUAGCAGAGCAUGGCACAAGGAAAAACAUUAUGAGGGAACUCUUCCACCAAUUUCUCACAAGAGAACUCCACUACAAAAAAUGCUAAAAACCCUUGGGCUAAAGACUCUAACAAGAUAAAGAUACUCUUGAAAGAAUUCAAAUAAUAAUGAAGGCAAUAAUAAACACAUCCAAAUAUGGAUAAGGUAUUUGGUAGAGUUUCCUUUAGUCCAGACUUAUAUCAGUAUCUCCCUAUGGUUGUCUCUCUGUAUAGCAUUAGAUAGAUAGAUAGAUGCACAUACUCCUGAGGGCAUUCAGCGCCAAAAAAAUUUAAAAAUCUGCACCAAAAAAAUAAAAUUCUGCGCACAUUUUAAAAUUCUGCCAAUUUUGUUGGUCAAAUAAAUGUGGUGGCUCUUUUUGGUGUUUCUCUUGUGUACAUGUGACAAUCAGGGUCCAGACACCCCAGGGGGAGAACAGAAGGUUUAAACCUAAAAAUAAAAGCAAUUAAACCAACCAAUUGAAUACUAUGUUGUUUUCCUGUAAGAGGAUAUCAAGAUCUUUUAUGAAAUUUUAUAAUGCACUGAACUUAAUAAUCAUUAUGAGAUAUGUACACAAGAUACGUGUGUGUGUAUAUAUAUAAAAUGUAAUGGUAACUGUGGUGCAACUUCAGCAUCACUUCACAACAGGGUGGUAAAGGAAUCAGGCAGGAAGAAGCUACCUCUCCAACCAGACAAGUCUGGCUUUGAGCACCUAGCCAUUGUCCAGCCCAGAAAAAAACCAACAUGGAACCAUCCAAGCAAACAAGAACAGUUGAAACUGAAAAGAAAAAUUCAUCUUUGGAACCCAAGAAAGGAGGGAGUCUCCCCCACUCUGAAUAUCUAUAGUGACUGAAAAAAAUGCAAACCCUUUUAAAAUGGAAAGGGUUUGAACUGAAGGCCAAUCAGAACUUGGGGGACAGAUACCUCUGACAGCUAGGGGGGCAUGCUGGAGAAUUGCUUUAAAGCAAUAGAUAACUCUUAGAAAAUAAUCCCUUAGAAAAGUGAUUUUAGCUAAUAUGAAAGUAAAGCCAGAGGUGAUGUCUGUAUGUUUAUUUUCUGUAUAAUGUGUAUAUGUUUGUUUUCCCUUACUAUUUCAUUUUUGAACCUGUGGGUUAUUUUUUAUAAAUAAGUUUUUAAAUAAAUUUAUAUAUAAA